RNAcentral lists this ribosomal RNA (255 nucleotides) under uncultured bacterium. Its description in RNAcentral is "partial 16S ribosomal RNA". It matches the Rfam family "Bacterial small subunit ribosomal RNA", at positions 524 to 777 of the family's 1533-position model. The record is from RNAcentral.
UACGGGGGGAGCAAGCGUUGUUCGGAUUUACUGGGCGUAAAGGGCGCGUAGGCGGCCUGUGCAAGUCAGUUGUGAAAUCUCCGAGCUUAACUCGGAACGGUCAACUGAUACUGCUCGGCUAGAGUGCGGAAGGGGCAACUGGAAUUCUUGGUGUAGCGGUGAAAUGCGUAGAUAUCAAGAGGAACACCUGCGGCGAAGGCGGGUUGCUGGGCCGACACUGACGCUGAGGCGCGAAAGCUAGGGGAGCGAACGGGG